This is a long non-coding RNA of Pectinophora gossypiella (pink bollworm), 722 nucleotides long. RefSeq lists it as uncharacterized. The record is from RefSeq and is a predicted model, not a curated record. The transcript has 3 exons. NCBI's taxonomy places the organism in Eukaryota, Metazoa, Arthropoda, Insecta, Lepidoptera, Gelechiidae.
AGUACAAGGCACUGGCCUAAAUUGGAUAUUGAAAAUUAAAGACAAGGCUUAAGCCUAUUUUGAUCGUGAUUUUCGAAUUUUAAAUUACUAAAGUCAAGGCUGUAUGGUCCUGAGAUCUUUGCCUGCCUUAUAUAAGGCGAAUUUAAACAACAACAACAACAUCAUCGAGUCGAGCCCUACUUCCUUGUACAAACUUGCGUUGACAUUCUACUGUAAUAACUUCCAGAACCAUUAUGUGUUUUGGAUAGAGCCAAAAUGAUAAAAGUUUGUGGAUAAUGUUCGUUGAUAAAUUGCAAUGUGUUAGAUGCUGAUCGACUUUGUCAUACUAACUCAUACUCAUACUAAGAGAUGCAAGCAACAACAAGUUUCCUGAAGAAUGUUCCAGCCCGAGAGUUAGAAACAAUGUGUCUGUAUAAGUUGUGGAAUAUCUUUGUGAAGGCAUACAAGAAGACAAAAUCACAGGCCAUAGGCUUAUGGAAAGAAAUAAAGAGUGACAUAUCUCCAAGACAGAUGCUUGAUGGAUGCCCAUGUAUGCGUUGUUUGCAGAAUGAGCUCACCUCAAAUGCAUUAAUACCUAGCGAACAUAAGAGCUGUGUUAAGUGUGCCAUUGCAUUGUAUGUAGCUAUUUAUGUUCAUAGAUGUUGUUAAACUAUGAGCUUAAAUCACUUUAUAAUUUAUAUUAUCAUGUCAUUAAAUAAUUAAAAAGCUAGUUAGGAACAUAA